GAAGCGGCACCAGCCCGCGGCUCGCCAACCGGGAGCUGGCGGCUCCCAGCAGAAGGGAACAGAACCCGAGGACCCUUUGCAGGAGAAAGAGCAGGUGCGAUGAGAGGGGAGAAGGACAGAAAGUUGGACACCUUACGGGGCCCUCUCAUCAGAAUGACCUCAUUCCCACUCCGAGAGACUUGUUGGACUUUUUGUUGAGCCAUUUUUGUGAAGAACCACGUAGGCUCGGGACUGAGACUCGCACAAGGUCACACAGCUGUUGGGUGGCACACAUCUGAGUUUGGAGCCUCGAAGUGUCUCAUUCCGUCGCCUGUCUUCUGCUGCUGCCCUUCGCAGAAUUGCUCUUGUCAGAAUUUAUGGCUGAACUACGAACGGGCACCUUUCAUGGCCUGUCUGUCCAAUACUGGCUGCAUGGAUGUUUCUUUGUCUUUCAUUUAGUUGAAACUCCUGAGGCAGAGAUUGAGUCAUUUCCCUGCCUUCACUGGAAGGGCAGUAAAUGACAUGCAAAAUGCGUGAGGACUUCGUGUGGAAGCGUUUUCCUGCCACUGGUCCUUUUUAUCUGCCUUGUGCCCCCCUGCUAGACGGUCCUCCCCAGCACCUCCUCCUUUUAUCUCAGCCCUAACUUUUAAAGUCCAUCCCCUCACUCACUACCUUAACUUUCGUGUUUACUUCCUUUUAUGAACUUCUCUAGGUCGACCGUUUUCACUCUUCGCGGGGCGCUUGUUGUGUGGCCUUUCUGCACCUUUGAUGAAUGCAUUCCCAGAUAUGUUCUCUUCUAGGAUGCCUCUUUGCAUCGCCAGUGGCACCGUGUUUGUACAAGCAGUACAGACUCCAAAAAAUGUUACUGGUGGGUGAACAUUAUUUCAGCCACUAAGAAAGAGGUGGGAGUGAGGGGUUUCCUGGUGGCUGAGCGAGUUAAAGACCUGGCAUUGUCACGGCUGUGUCUCAGUUUCAAUCUCUGACCCAGGAACUUGCACAUGCCAAGGGCACAACUAAAAAAGAGAAAGAGAGGAUUUCCAUCCCCAAAUCAAGCCUGCCUUGUUUAUGCCUCAACCUUUACUUUCCUAUCUCCAUAGUUUUUCUCCACUGUAAUCCUUAGCCUAUACCAUAGACUGUCUAGAUCAUUCAAUAACAUAAAAACAAUAUUUUUCAAUUUGAUGUCUUAGCAGUGGCAACGAUAACAGGUGUGGUGUGAUAAGAUUUACUGAAUCACCCUUCAUCACCUACUGUCAAGCCACAUUCCUACUACAUUAGGACGGAAAUUUAGGGAUAGAAAAAUAUGAAGGAUAUUUUCCGUCCUAGAUGGAUUAGACUCGGGUAAAACGAAAAAUAUUUGUAAAUAUUUGCAAUACAGCAAGAGGAGUUGGGGAAAUGAUCUUUUAGAAGAAUAAAUUAAGGUUUUUAUUUCCCAGAGAGGACAAAUAAAAUCAUAUUAAUAGAAAGAAAAGUUAUUCACGUGACUAGCAUGCGGUCUUCAGAAGAAAAAUAAUACAGAGAUGAGUUGUGUUUGUUUUUGGAUAAUUCAAAAGAAAACUAGCCUGAGCCACUCCUGUGAAAAGACUAAACUGGAGUUUAAUCUCACAGUGGCAAGAAUUUAAAACAAUUUGCAACAACAAAGCACAGUUUAGCUUUUCAAACUGCUUCCAUGGAGAGUCUUUGCUUUACAUUUGCAUAACUUAAUGACACAUUCUGGCGGUCUUCUUAAAAUAAAAGGUUUGCAGAAAGACAGAUUAAGGUAGUGAAAGGGCAGCCUUUCUGGGCUCCAGCUUACUCAGAAUUCAGCCCUGCAGGGCUAGCAGCUCAAAGUUCUUCCCCCUUCCAUAGUUAGCUUUAAGAAUCCCUGCCUUUUCAGUUCUAUCUGUUAACUACCUUUUAUGCAGAGUCCAGUCAAGCCUGAAAUUGGAACGUUGCUCUAUCCCUGUUUCAACAGGAAAAAUUUUUAGUCCAUUUACACUUAGUAUAAUUAAUGCUGUAUUUAGAUUUUUACCUGCCAUCUUACUAUUAUUUUCUUUGCCUGUUUACUUAAUAUCCCUUAUUCUCUUGUUUCUUGCCUUCUUUUGAUUUCAGUAUACCAUUUACCUCCUUUAUUAGCUUAUUAAUUUUACACUUUUAAGAAGUCUUAGGGAUUACAAUAGUCUCAAUUGAUUUAUUACACUCCAUUUUAAAUGAUUACUUUCAACACUUCCCCCCAAGUACUAAGACUUUAGGAUAGUAUUGUGUCUCCACAUAACCCCUUCCCCUUUUGUGUUUAUUGGUUGUCUUGUAUUUUAAUUGUGCGUAUAUUUUUAAAGCACAUGAGAUUUUAUUGGGAGGGAUAAACUAGGGAUUUGGGAUUAGCAUAUGCACACUGAGGUAUGUGGAAUGAUUGGCCAACCAGGACCUGCUAUAUAGGACAGAGAACUCUACCCAGUAUUCUGUGAUAAUCUGAGUGGGAAAAGAGUCUGCGAGAGAGAAUGGAUUUGUGUGUAUAUAUGACUGGGUCACUCUGCUGUACAGCAGAAAUAAUCACACCUUGUAAAUUAACUAUACUUCGAUAAAACUUUUUUAAAAGAUGUUAUCAUUGUACAGUCAAUAUUCAUUAGAUGUUCCUUUAUGUUCCUCUUUCUUCCAAUAUGUAUUUGUAUGCUUAUGAGUGGAAUUUUUUCUCUCUGUUUGAAUAAUUCCUUUGUUCCAAGC
This 2676-nucleotide long non-coding RNA is filed under the name Sus scrofa (pig). RNAcentral describes it as "lncRNA (ENSSSCG00055007985.1)". The record is from RNAcentral. Lineage: Eukaryota; Metazoa; Chordata; Mammalia; Artiodactyla; Suidae.